This is a long non-coding RNA of Mauremys reevesii (Reeves's turtle), 894 nucleotides long. RefSeq lists it as uncharacterized. The record is from RefSeq and is a predicted model, not a curated record. Lineage: Eukaryota; Metazoa; Chordata; Testudines; Geoemydidae. The transcript has 4 exons.
GUAUCCAAGGGCUGUUACCAGUCUCAUAAGACAUCUGAUCUUUCCUUAUACUCACCAGUUCUAAGCAGCCCACAAAAUGAGAAACAAAAAUGACUGAGAACAACAUAAAUGAAAGCAAAGCUAGGAAGGAGAAGGCAGAAGACAAAGAGAAAAACAUCCCAAGUUGUGAUGAAAGAAACUCCACAGAGUACUCAUUAUUUGACAUCACAUAAAAGAUAAAUUCUUCUGUCUAAAUUGACUGUGGAGUAGGGGGCUGACAGAAUGAGACAAUGGGAGGCAAAUUUAAUUUAUGAAGAUAUUGCUUUGGGAGGCAGUGGCAAGGUGACAAUAGAGAGAAAUUAGUGCUUGUUGAUCCACACAGAGGCACUGGGGUCUGCCUUCAUGAAAGCUGCUCAUUCAUCCUCUUGUCCCGAACAUAGAGAGUGCAACACAUCUAUCUACAAAGGAAGAAGGUUCCUGUGAUCUCCAGAAUGGCAAUUUCCUCAUAUAGCACAAACUUCAGUGGUGAGGGAGAAGUCAUCCUCUGAUCCGUUAAGGUCCAGGGAACACUGAUAAAUAGGGAGGGGAAGCAGCCAUAUGCAGAAGCACAUCAGAGGCCCCCUUUGAUCAACCUGUACGUUACCACCGCUGCAGGAAGGGCAGCCAGCACAUCCCUCGGCCCACGCUGCUUCCCACAGCCCCCACUGGCCUGUGACAGCAAACCGUGGCCAGUGAGAGUGGCAAUUGGCCAAACCUGCGGACGCGGCAGGUAAACAAACCAGCCUGGACCGCCAGAGGCUUUCCCUGAACAAGUGGUGGCCCAACUUUGAGAAGCACCGCACUAGAGGCAAGAACUCCUGCAUCAUUUCUCCAUCUGUAGAAUUCUCAACAUACAAUGUUUAAGGGUGUAUUUUC